GAGGGUAUAGCUUAAGUGGCAGAGCACAUGCUUAGCAUGCACGAGGUGCUGGGUUCAACCCCCAGUACCUCCU
This 73-nucleotide transfer RNA is filed under the name Camelus bactrianus (Bactrian camel). It matches the Rfam family "tRNA". Rfam says of the family: Transfer RNA (tRNA) molecules are approximately 80 nucleotides in length. Their secondary structure includes four short double-helical elements and three loops (D, anti-codon, and T loops). Further hydrogen bonds mediate the characteristic L-shaped molecular structure. tRNAs have two regions of fundamental functional importance: the anti-codon, which is responsible for specific mRNA codon recognition, and the 3' end, to which the tRNAs corresponding amino acid is attached (by aminoacyl-tRNA synthetases). tRNAs cope with the degeneracy of the genetic code in two manners: having more than one tRNA (with a specific anti-codon) for a particular amino acid; and 'wobble' base-pairing, i.e. permitting non-standard base-pairing at the 3rd anti-codon position. RNAcentral also lists the same sequence under 2 other names. The record is from Rfam by way of RNAcentral. Lineage: Eukaryota; Metazoa; Chordata; Mammalia; Artiodactyla; Camelidae.